Molecule: ribosomal RNA, 399 nt
Filed under: uncultured bacterium
Lineage: Bacteria
Description: bacterial SSU rRNA
Rfam family: Bacterial small subunit ribosomal RNA
Source: RNAcentral
AACUAAAUUGUUAGGUGGCGGACGGGUGAGUAACACGUUGGAACCUCGACCCAAAGUAAGGAAUAACUGCCCGAAAGGGUAGCUAAUACCUUAUAAUAUCCAAUUUAUUUGGAUUAAAGCUUUAUGUGCUUUGGGAGGGGCCUGCGUCUGAUUAGCUAGUUGGUGAGGUAAAAGCUCACCAAGGCGACGAUCAGUAGCUGGUUUGAGAGGACGACCAGCCACACUGGGACUGAGAUACGGCCCAGACUCCUACGGGAGGCAGCAGUAAGGAAUCUUCCACAAUGGGGCAACCCUGAUGGAGCAAUGCCGCGUGCAGGAUGAAGCGUUUCGGCGUGUAAACUGCUUUUAUCACCGAAGAUUAUGACGGUAGGUGAAGAAUAAGGACCGGCUAACUACGUG